AAAGAAAGAAAUGGACUCCGGCCAUAGAUUUUUCAAUUCUUUGCGCCUCAGUCAUAAAAUCAAUUCUUUAUCUUAAGAUUAUUGAUGGUAACUCGGUAUGGAGUUGAUCAAGGACCACACAUCCAAGGUCCAAAAAGGAGAGCCCGCAUCAAUUAAAGUAUCCCAUGGGGACACAGGGAACAUGCAUGGUUAGGUUUCUGCAUAUUCUCCGAUCCAUUCCUUGCUUUCGCUAUUUACUUAUUUCUCA
Arabidopsis thaliana (thale cress) is the source of this 247-nucleotide long non-coding RNA. RefSeq annotates it as other RNA. The record is from RefSeq. The transcript is spliced from 2 exons. NCBI's taxonomy places the organism in Eukaryota, Viridiplantae, Streptophyta, Magnoliopsida, Brassicales, Brassicaceae.